RNAcentral lists this ribosomal RNA (1111 nucleotides) under Bacillus sp. (in: firmicutes). RNAcentral's name for it is "bacterial SSU rRNA". It matches the Rfam family "Bacterial small subunit ribosomal RNA", at positions 33 to 1152 of the family's 1533-position model. Lineage: Bacteria; Bacillati; Bacillota; Bacilli; Caryophanales; Bacillaceae. The record is from RNAcentral.
CCAUUGGCGGCAGCUAAUACAUGCAAGUCGAGCGGACAGAAGGGAGCUUGCUCCCGGAUGUUAGCGGCGGACGGGUGAGUAACACGUGGGUAACCUGCCUGUAAGACUGGGAUAACUCCGGGAAACCGGAGCUAAUACCGGAUAGUUCCUUGAACCGCAUGGUUCAAGGAUGAAAGACGGUUUCGGCUGUCACUUACAGAUGGACCCGCGGCGCAUUAGCUAGUUGGUGAGGUAACGGCUCACCAAGGCGACGAUGCGUAGCCGACCUGAGAGGGUGAUCGGCCACACUGGGACUGAGACACGGCCCAGACUCCUACGGGAGGCAGCAGUAGGGAAUCUUCCGCAAUGGACGAAAGUCUGACGGAGCAACGCCGCGUGAGUGAUGAAGGUUUUCGGAUCGUAAAGCUCUGUUGUUAGGGAAGAACAAGUGCAAGAGUAACUGCUUGCACCUUGACGGUACCUAACCAGAAAGCCACGGCUAACUACGUGCCAGCAGCCGCGGUAAUACGUAGGUGGCAAGCGUUGUCCGGAAUUAUUGGGCGUAAAGGGCUCGCAGGCGGUUUCUUAAGUCUGAUGUGAAAGCCCCCGGCUCAACCGGGGAGGGUCAUUGGAAAACUGGGAAACUUGAGUGCAGAAGAGGAGAGUGGAAAUUCCACGUGUAGCGGUGAAAUGCGUAGAGAUGUGGAGGAACACCAGUGGCGAAAGGCGACUCUCUGGUCUGUAACUGACGCUGAGAGCGAAAGCGGUGGGGAGCGAACAGGAUUAGAUACCCUGGUAGUCCACGCCGUAAACGAUGAGUGCUAAGUGUUUAAGGGGUUUCCGCCCCUUAGUGCUGCAGCUAACGCAUUAAGCACUCCCGCCUGGGGAGUACGGUCGCAAGACUGAAACUCAAAGGAAUUGACGGGGCCCGCACAAGCGGUGGAGCCAUGUGGUUUAAUCGAAGCACGCGAGAACUUACAGUCUGACAUCUCUGACACCUAAGAUAGCUUCCUCGGGACGAUGACAGGUGGUGCAUGCUUGUCGUCAGCUUCUGUCUUGGAAUGUUCGGUUAGUUCCCGCCACGAGGCACUUGAACCUUGUGCAGCAUUCAUUGGCACUCUUAGGGUAAAAG